This 597-nucleotide long non-coding RNA is filed under the name Marmota monax (woodchuck). Lineage: Eukaryota; Metazoa; Chordata; Mammalia; Rodentia; Sciuridae. The record is from RNAcentral.
GGAUCAUCUUUUCAAGUUCUACUGAAAAGUCUAUCAUGAUUGUCAGCAAAGUUUAAUUGAAUUAAAUUUCCGGGGAUUAUUGACACCUUUGUUAUAUUAUCCUCCUAUUGAUAGGUGUGGAAUAUAGCUACAUUUAUGUAGGUUUCCCUUCCUGUUCUUCAGUAAAAUUUUUUGCUCCUGAGUGCCAUGGGACCAAUCACUCUAAGUGGGGGAGCCAACACAAUACUUUAAAAGCAGUACCUCCCAACUCAGACCAGAGACUAUCUCACUCCCUGCUGCAGAUCUCAGAUAUGAGUAAGGGAGAGUUGCAGAGACGAGAGCCUCCUAGGCUCAACCCAGAGUCCCCGCAGUCAACCAACGUGGUGCUGUUAAGGACUGGAGCAAAAAGAACUCUUGCUGGAAGGAACAGGAUUAGGAAAUUCGUUUGGGAAAACAAUUUGGCAUUACAUAAGAUUGUCAGAGUCUUCUUUGACUACUGAUCAACAGUUCCAUUCCUGUAUGUAUUCGUAUUAAGUACUACCCAAUAUGGUAGUUACUACUCAUUUGUGGCUAUAUAUAUGUAAAUUAAGAUUAAUUAAAAUAAAAUUUUAAAAUUCA